Molecule: unclassified non-coding RNA, 147 nt
Filed under: soil metagenome
Description: partial internal transcribed spacer 1
Source: RNAcentral
CCGAGUUUACAACUCCCAAACCCCUGUGAACAUACCAAUUGUUGCCUCGGCGGAUCAGCCCGCUCCCGGUAAAACGGGACGGCCCGCCAGAGGACCCCUAAACUCUGUUUCUAUAUAUAACUUCUGAGUAAAACCAUAAAUAAAUCA